RNAcentral lists this ribosomal RNA (253 nucleotides) under uncultured bacterium. Its description in RNAcentral is "partial 16S ribosomal RNA". It matches the Rfam family "Bacterial small subunit ribosomal RNA", at positions 524 to 776 of the family's 1533-position model. The record is from RNAcentral.
UACGUAGGUGACAAGCGUUGUCCGGAUUUACUGGGCGUAAAGAGCGCGCAGGCGGUCGUUCAAGUCGAGUGUGAAAGCCCCCGGCUCAACUGGGGAGGGUCACUCGAUACUGAUCGACUCGAAGGCAGGAGAGGGAAGUGGAAUUCCUGGUGUAGCGGUGAAAUGCGCAGAUAUCAGGAGGAACACCGGUGGCGAAGGCGGGUCUCUGGGCCGAUACUGACGCUGAGGAGCGAAAGCGUGGGGAGCGAACAGG